GCAAUACAUAAAUUUCUAAUAAUCUACAGCAAUAAUAUUUAAUAAAUUAUGUAAAAUAUAUUUAUGUAUAUAUACAGUCUGAAUUUAGCCACUGUGAUCUUUGUACCCCUAAGUAAAAUUUAUCUCUCUGUGUGUAUAUGUGUGUAUGUGUAUAGAGGGUCAAAAUCAGAGAGACAAAGAAUGCAAAUGUGGCAAAAUAUUAAAAAUUGCUGAAUCUGGAUAAAGGGCAUACAGGAGUUGUCUGCUAUUCUUGCAAUAUUUAAGUUUAAAAUUAGUUUUUAAAAAGAUUAUCACUGAUUCCCUUCUGUAUCUUGUGGAUUUUCACCUCCAAUCCUUCACUGAUAUCAUUCAUACCAAAACUCUGGGUCCCAACCUGGGACAUCACCUUUUCCAAAUCCUACCUGGUUCUCUAGGGCCAACCCAAAUCUUGGCCAGCUAUUUACUGCUCCUUUUCCUGCAUUCCUCUAGCACUUUGAUCUUAAUAACAUUUGGUGUUAAGUCUUGUCCUGUUGAUUGGUUUUGUUUCAGGGUAAAGACAACAUAGUAGCUAUGUGCACACACUAUGAAAUCAGAAUAUUUAGGUUUACAUCUCAGUUCUGUCACUUUUAACCUGUUAUGUCUUGGGAAGAUUCCUUACCUUCUUUUUGUCUUGGUUUCUUUAAAGGAAGCAGCUUUUCAUGAAGGGAAAAAGAAUAUGCACUGAGAUCCAGAGACGUGCUUCUAGGUCUAGAAUUGCCACAGUGUAUGAUGUUAGAUAAACUCAUUUUUGUUUCAUAGGCCUUAGGUCUCCCAUCUGUAACAUAAGGAGUUUGAAGGAAUAAAAAGUUCUUUACUCUGGGUAUGUUCUAGAAUUGCUUGGGGAGCUAUAAAAACACAUUUAAAACAUGUCAAUGUUAAACUCCCCACCAAAAUUCUGAUUUCAUUGGGUAGGGGUAAAUCCCAGUUUUUAAUUUAAAAUAUUUUAUUGGUGGAUAUUAAUUAUACAGUAUAGUAUGUUUCACUGUGUCAUAUUCAUAUAUGCAUAUAACAAAAUUUGAUCCAUUUUCCAACACAGUACCUCCCUUUGUCUUCCCUUCUUCCCUCCCCAUGAUCCCCUUCAUCUACCCUAAUGGUCUCUCUUCUAUUUCCAUUGGGUCUCCCAUUUUUCCUUCUCUCUAGUGUCC
Molecule: long non-coding RNA, 1163 nt
Filed under: Marmota monax (woodchuck)
Lineage: Eukaryota; Metazoa; Chordata; Mammalia; Rodentia; Sciuridae
Source: RNAcentral